RNAcentral lists this ribosomal RNA (253 nucleotides) under uncultured bacterium. RNAcentral describes it as "partial 16S ribosomal RNA". It matches the Rfam family "Bacterial small subunit ribosomal RNA", at positions 524 to 776 of the family's 1533-position model. The record is from RNAcentral.
UACAGGGGGGGCAAGCGUUGUUCGGAAUUACUGGGCGUAAAGGGCUCGUAGGCGGCCAACUAAGUCAGACGUGAAAUCCCUCGGCUUAACCGGGGAACUGCGUCUGAUACUGGAUGGCUUGAGAUUGGGAGAGGGAUGCGGAAUUCCAGGUGUAGCGGUGAAAUGCGUAGAUAUCUGGAGGAACACCGGUGGCGAAGGCGGCAUCCUGGACCAACACCGACGCUGAGGAGCGAAAGCCAGGGGAGCAAACGGG